RNAcentral lists this ribosomal RNA (253 nucleotides) under uncultured bacterium. Its description in RNAcentral is "partial 16S ribosomal RNA". It matches the Rfam family "Bacterial small subunit ribosomal RNA", at positions 524 to 776 of the family's 1533-position model. The record is from RNAcentral.
GACGAGGGGUCCAAGCGUUGUUCGGAAUCAUUGGGCGUAAAGCGGGUGUAGGUGGCUCUAUAAGUCAGAAGUGAAAGCCCCGGGCUUAACCCGGGAAGUGCUUUUGAUACUGCAGAGCUUGAAUGUGGGAGAGGAUCGUGGAAUUCCAGGUGUAGUGGUGAAAUACGUAGAGAUCGGGAGGAACACCAGUGGCGAAGGCGGCUCUCUGGACCAGCACUGACACUGAGGCACGAAAGCGUGGGGAGCAAACAGG